AUUGAACGCUGGCGGCAUGCCUUACACAUGCAAGUCGAACGGCAGCACGGGUGCUUGCACCUGGUGGCGAGUGGCGAACGGGUGAGUAAUACAUCGGAACAUGUCCUGUAGUGGGGGAUAGCCCGGCGAAAGCCGGAUUAAUACCGCAUACGAUCCACGGAUGAAAGCGGGGGACCUUCGGGCCUCGCGCUAUAGGGUUGGCCGAUGGCUGAUUAGCUAGUUGGUGGGGUAAAGGCCUACCAAGGCGACGAUCAGUAGCUGGUCUGAGAGGGCGACCAGCCACACUGGGACUGAGACACGGCCCAGACUCCUACGGGAGGCAGCAGUGGGGAAUUUUGGACAAUGGGCGAAAGCCUGAUCCAGCAAUGCCGCGUGUGUGAAGAAGGCCUUCGGGUUGUAAAGCACUUUUGUCCGGAAAGAAAUCCUUGGCUCUAAUACAGUCGGGGGAUGACGGUACCGGAAGAAUAAGCACCGGCUAACUACGUG
RNAcentral lists this ribosomal RNA (486 nucleotides) under uncultured bacterium. RNAcentral's name for it is "partial 16S ribosomal RNA". It matches the Rfam family "Bacterial small subunit ribosomal RNA", at positions 30 to 507 of the family's 1533-position model. The record is from RNAcentral.